GGGGAAUAUUGGGCAAUGGGCGAAAGCCUGACCCAGCAACGCCGCGUGAGGGAAGAAGGUUUUCGGAUUGUAAACCUCUGUCCUUGGGGACGAAAAAAAUAACGGUACCCAAGGAGGAAGCCCCGGCUAACUACGUGCCAGCAGCCGCGGUAAUACGUAGGGGGCGAGCGUUGUCCGGAAUUACUGGGCGUAAAGGGUGCGUAGGCGGUAUUUUAAGUCAGAUGUGAAAUCCCCGGGCUCAACCCGGGUAUUGCAUUUGAAACUGGGAUGCUAGAGUGCAGGAGAGGGAAGCGGAAUUCCUAGUGUAGCGGUGAAAUGCGUAGAUAUUAGGAGGAACACCAGUGGCGAAGGCGGCUUUCUGGACUGUAACUGACACUGAGGCACGAAAGCGUGGGGAGCAAAC
RNAcentral lists this ribosomal RNA (403 nucleotides) under uncultured bacterium. Its description in RNAcentral is "bacterial SSU rRNA". It matches the Rfam family "Bacterial small subunit ribosomal RNA", at positions 356 to 773 of the family's 1533-position model. The record is from RNAcentral.